RNAcentral lists this ribosomal RNA (494 nucleotides) under uncultured bacterium. RNAcentral describes it as "partial 16S ribosomal RNA". It matches the Rfam family "Bacterial small subunit ribosomal RNA", at positions 28 to 523 of the family's 1533-position model. The record is from RNAcentral.
GAUGAACGCUAGCGGGAGGCCAACACAUGCAAGCCGGGGGGUAUAUUUCUUUCGGGAGGUAGGGACCGGCGCACGGGGGGGGAACGCGUAUUCAACUUGGCCUACUGAAGAGGAAAGACCAGAAGAAUUUGGAUUAAUACUUUAUAACAGGGUUUAAUGCAUGAUAAGAAUUUGGAAGGUUUAUCGCAGUAGGGUAGGCAUGCGUAAGGUUAGUUAGUUGGUAAGGUAACGGCUUACCAAGACGAUGAUCUUUAGGGGGCCUGAGAGGGUGAUCCCCCACACUGGUACUGUGACACGGACCAGACUCCUACGGGAGGCAGCAGUGAGGAAUAUUGGACAAUGGGUGGAAGCCUGAUCCAGCCAUCCCGCGUGUAGGAUGACGGCCUUAUGGGUUGUAAACUACUUUUAUCUGGGGAUAAACCUGUCUACGUGUAGAUAGCUGAAGGUACCAGAAGAAUAAGCACCGGCUAACUCCGUGCCAGCAGCCGCCGUAA